AACCUAAUAAUUACACUUUACCGUUUUACACAACUCACGUUCCAAAAGCAGACAUAAACAAAACUCAAAAACUAGACCUUCAAUGGCGAAACAAACACUACAACACAAAAACUAGUGUUUGAAUUCGAAUUCAAUUCAUCAAAUGGCAAACAACACCACCGCGGCGGCUACCACCUCCUCCUCCGUGAAAUCGAAGAAGGAGAGCCAGGGGCUCCUUCUAGGCCGAUACGAGAUCGGAAAGCUCCUCGGCCAUGGUACCUUCGCGAAGGUCUACCAUGCUCGGAACAUCAAAACGAACGAAAGUGUUGCCAUCAAAGUCAUCGACAAAGAGAAAAUCCUCAAAGGCGGUCUAAUUGCGCACAUCAAGCGCGAGAUCUCGAUCCUCCGCCGCGUUCGCCAUCCGAACAUCGUCCAAUUGUUUGAAGUAAUGGCCACGAAGACAAAAAUCUACUUUGUAAUGGAGUUCGUCAGAGGCGGUGAGCUCUUCAACAAGGUCGCCAAAGGUCGGUUGAAGGAGGAAGUCGCAAGAAAGUACUUCCAGCAGCUGAUUUCCGCCGUCGGAUUUUGCCACGCGCGAGGCGUGUACCACCGAGACCUCAAGCCUGAAAAUUUAUUGUUAGACGAUAACGGAGACCUCAAGGUCUCGGAUUUCGGACUCAGCGCCGUGUCGGAUCAGAUUCGGCAGGACGGACUCUUCCACACCUUCUGCGGAACGCCGGCGUACGUGGCGCCGGAGGUCUUGGCGAGGAAGGGGUACGAUGCGGCCAAGGUCGAUAUUUGGUCCUGUGGAGUCAUCCUCUUUGUGUUGAUGGCUGGAUAUUUACCAUUUCAUGACCAGAACAUCAUGCAAAUGUAUAAGAAGAUAUAUAAAGGCGAAUUUCGAUGCCCUAGGUGGUUUUCGCCGGAGCUUAGUCGGCUAUUAACUCAUCUUCUUGAUACCAAUCCGGAGACUCGGAUCACAAUUCCGGAGAUUAUGAACAAGAAAUGGUUUAAGAAAGGGUUUAAGCAUAUAAAGUUCUAUAUUGAGGAUGAUAGGUUAUGUAGUGUUCCUGACGACGUUGAUGAUGGUAUGGAGUCUUCUUCCGAUUUGUCUGAAUCUGAGUCGGAAAUGGAGAGCCGGAGGAGAAUUGGGCAUUUGCCGAGACCUGCGAGCUUGAAUGCAUUUGAUAUUAUAUCGUUUUCGCCUGGAUUUGAUUUGUCUGGGUUGUUUGAGGAGGGCGGAGAUGAUGCGAGGUUUGUGUCUGGGGCGCCGGUGUCGAAGAUCAUAUCCAAAUUGGAGGAGAUUGCGAAGGUGGUUAGUUUUUCAGUGAGGAAGAAGGAUUGCAGGGUGAGUUUGGAGGGGUCAAGGGAGGGAGUGAAGGGGCCGUUGACAAUUGCGGCGGAGAUAUUCGAAUUGACGCCGUCUUUGGUGGUGGUGGAGGUGAAGAAGAAAGGAGGGGAUAAAGGAGAGUAUGAGGAGUUUUGCAAUCGAGAAUUGAAGCCCGGGUUGGAAAAUCUCAUGCUGGAAGAGAUUGCAGCUCCUUCUAAUUUGCCUUUGGAUGCUGAAUAUCUCAUGCUGGAAGAGAUUGCAGCUCCUUCUAUUUUGCCUUCGGAUACUGAAUGAAGACAGAAAGGAGAGAAAAGGGUAUGCCCACUCUCUAUCUCUCUCCUUUGCCACAGCUUCGGUAUGAUAAUGGUUCGGUUUGAAAACAUUAGCUUCUCACUAAUGGAGGCAAAGUCCCACCUUGUCCCAGUGGCGAUCUGACCAAAAUGCGAACAACUUGCUCUCAACAAUUGCAGUAGCUGCACCAGGUACACGUAUAUGACACGCUCAGAGUCGGGGCCCUAUCGGUGUGUUUGUGGAAUCACAUAACAAAAUCUGUACCACAUAUGUAAGAUAGUUUCUUAUCUUAAAGAGAAAUGUACGACAUUACUUUUUCUUUCAAAUCUACCUUAUCUGUCUCCUGUCUUCCGUCUUCGGAGCAAUAAUGUACCUCAUUUGGAAUUCAGUUUACAAUGUGGCUAAGCCCAGUGCAGGAAUGGUUGAAGUAAAAUGCCCUAAUUAUUUUAUGA
Molecule: RNA transcript, 2052 nt
Organism: Cornus florida
Lineage: Eukaryota; Viridiplantae; Streptophyta; Magnoliopsida; Cornales; Cornaceae
Gene name: CBL-interacting serine/threonine-protein kinase 12-like
Exons: 2
Source: RefSeq, a predicted model, not a curated record